Molecule: ribosomal RNA, 171 nt
Filed under: uncultured bacterium
Lineage: Bacteria
Description: partial 16S ribosomal RNA
Rfam family: Bacterial small subunit ribosomal RNA
Source: RNAcentral
CCUACGGGAGGCAGCAGUAGGGAAUUUUGCGCAAUGGGGGAAACCCUGACGCAGCAACGCCGCGUGAUUGACGAAGCCCUUCGGGGUGUAAAGAUCUGUCAGUGGGGACGAAGAAAUGACGGUACCCACAGAGGAAGCACCGGCUAACUCCGUGCCAGCAGCCGCGGUAAU